GUUGAACGCUGGCGGCAGGCCUAACACAUGCAAGUCGAGCGGAUGAAGGGGGCUUGCUCCCGGAUUCAGCGGCGGACGGGUGAGUAAUGCCUAGGAAUCUGCCUGGUAGUGGGGGAUAACGUCCGGAAACGGGCGCUAAUACCGCAUACGUCCUGAGGGAGAAAGUGGGGGAUCUUCGGACCUCACGCUAUCAGAUGAGCCUAGGUCGGAUUAGCUAGUUGGUGGGGUAAAGGCCUACCAAGGCGACGAUCCGUAACUGGUCUGAGAGGAUGAUCAGUCACACUGGAACUGAGACACGGUCCAGACUCCUACGGGAGGCAGCAGUGGGGAAUAUUGGACAAUGGGCGAAAGCCUGAUCCAGCCAUGCCGCGUGUGUGAAGAAGGUCUUCGGAUUGUAAAGCACUUUAAGUUGGGAGGAAGGGCAGUAAGUUAAUACCUUGCUGUUUUGACGUUACCAACAGAAUAAGCACCGGCUAACUUCGUG
This 484-nucleotide ribosomal RNA is filed under the name uncultured bacterium. Its description in RNAcentral is "partial 16S ribosomal RNA". It matches the Rfam family "Bacterial small subunit ribosomal RNA", at positions 28 to 507 of the family's 1533-position model. The record is from RNAcentral.